This 497-nucleotide ribosomal RNA is filed under the name uncultured bacterium. Its description in RNAcentral is "partial 16S ribosomal RNA". It matches the Rfam family "Bacterial small subunit ribosomal RNA", at positions 28 to 507 of the family's 1533-position model. The record is from RNAcentral.
GAUGAACGCUGGCGGCGUGCCUAAUACAUGCAAGUCGAGCGAACAGACGAGGAGCUUGCUCCUCUGACGUUAGCGGCGGACGGGUGAGUAACACGUGGAUAACCUACCUAUAAGACUGGGAUAACUUCGGGAAACCGGAGCUAAUACCGGAUAAUAUAUUGAACCGCAUGGUUCGAUAGUGAAAUACGGUUUUGCUGUCACUUAUAGAUGGAUCCGCGCCGCAUUAGCUAGUUGGUAAGGUAACGGCUUACCAAGGCAACGAUGCGUAGCCGACCUGAGAGGGUGAUCGGCCACACUGGAACUGAGACACGGUCCAGACUACUACGGGAGGCAGCAGUAGGGAAUCUUCCGCAAUGGGCGAAAGCAUGACGGAGCAACGCCGAGUGAGUGAUGAAGGUCUUCGGAUCGUAAAACUCUGUUAUUAGGGAAGAACAAAUGUGUAAGUAACUAUGCACGUCUUGACGGUACCUAAUCAGAAAGCCACGGCUAACUACGUG